GUUCAGAGCUACUGCCUCAAGGGCCGCUUCCAAACAACUGAGCUCAUUUUGUCAAAACAUCACCUUUCUGCCUUCUUUUUGCAAUUCAAUGAUUCUAAAUCCAUUAAUGAAGGCACACACACAAAAAAACCACAUAGAAGCUUUCAAAAAGGGCCAAUCUACACCACUCUCUUUUUACAUACUCAAAUUUUAUACCAGGAAGUCUUUACACGUACAACUUUUUUUCCUUAAUGGUAGUAGGGGAGUUUAUCAGGAAACAAUAUGGAUUCUUGUGAAAACAUCUUUUGAAAUAAAGCCUACCCUCUCCAAGAGUUGGGCUUCCCUGGUGGCUCAGAUGGUAAAGGUGGCUCUGCCUGCAAUGCAAGAGACCUGGGUUCGAUGCCUGGAAGAUUGGAAGAUUCUUUGAAGGAGGGAAUGGCUCCAUACUUCUGGGUAUUCGUUUUUAACUGAAUAUAAAGACAGUUCAAAGUCUCUGACAGUGGGUCAUUUGUACAGAGUUGGUUCACUUUCAGAGGCAAGAUGGGUUAGGUGAAACUGAUGUUACUGCAGGUUAUCUGAUAUAUCUCUUCAAGCAGUUAGAAAAAAAAAAAUGCAUGUUGUAAAAAAAAGCCUUCCUUGAAAUAGGAAGUGACCUCUCACAUUUGCUGUGUGACUUUGAGAUACCCAAUUAGCCUCUCAGAGCUUCCUCUUAUUCCCUUUCAGUAGUAUUAGUAAGGUUUAUCUUGCAGAGUAGUUGUAAACAAAAAAGAAGAUAAUGUACAAUAAAGAGCUUGAGAAUGUUCAGAGGUGUCC
Molecule: long non-coding RNA, 792 nt
Filed under: Capra hircus (goat)
Lineage: Eukaryota; Metazoa; Chordata; Mammalia; Artiodactyla; Bovidae
Description: lncRNA (ENSCHIG00000007928.1)
Source: RNAcentral